CACCACGCUCACUUUGGGAUUAAUCAAAACAAGUCGGUGUGGAAUGUUUUUUGCUUUUAAUCGAAUAAAAACACAUUUUUAAGAAUACUUUAAACAUAAACAUUACAUGAGUACAGUUAUCACAUGGUACAUGUUAAUGUAUAUGGUUUGUUGUAUUCUUAUAUGAUUUUGUACACAAUGCAUACAAUGUAUAUUUUGGCAAUAUGCAUACUCUUGGUAAACCGGACGAUCAGGCCGGUCUCCAGACCGUCCGGUUUACAGAGAGUCUACUGUAUAUUUUUUUUAGCUCACCUGAGCACAACGUGCUCAUGGUGAGCUAUUGUGAUCGCCUUUUGUCCGUCGUGCGUCGUCAAAAUUUACCUUGUUAACACUCUAAAGGUCACAUUUAUUGUCCAAUCUUCAUGAAACUUGGUUAGAACAUGUGUCUCAAUAAUAUCUUGGACGAGUUCGAAAAUGGUUCCGGUUGGUUGAAAAACAUGGCUGCCAGGGGGCGUGGCAGUUUUCCUUAUAUGGCUAUAGUAAAACCUUGUUAACACUCUAGAAGUCACAUUUUUAGUCCAAUCUGCAUGAAACUUGGUGGGAACAUGUGUCCCAAUAAAAUCUUGGACAAGUUCAAAAAUUGUUCCGGUUGGUUGAAAAACAUGGCCGCCAGGGGGCGUGGCAGUUUUCCUUAAGUAAAACCUUGUUAACACUCUAGAAGUCACAUUUAUUGUCCAAUCUUCAUGAAACUUAGUCAGAAGAUUUGUUAUAAUGAUAUCUUGGACGAGUUCGAAAAUGGUUCCGGUUGUUUGAAAAACAUGGCCGCCAGGGGGCGUGGCAGUUUUCCUAAUAUGGCUAUAGUAAAACUUGUUAACACUCUAGAAGUCACAUUUUUAGUCCAAUCUUCAUGAAACUUGGUCAAAACAUGUGUCUCAAUAAUAUCUUGGACGAGUUCGAAAAUGGUUCCAGUUGAAUGAAAAACAUGGCCGCCAUGGGGCGGGGCAGUUUUCCUUAUAUGGCUUUACUGUAUGGUAAAACCUUGUUAACACUCAUUUGUUGUCCAAUGCUCAUUAAACUUGGUCAGAAUAUUUGAACUAAUAAUAUCUGGGCUAAGUUCAAAAAUGGUUGAGAUCAGUUAAAAAACAUGGCCGCAAGGGGGCGUGGCAUUUUUCCUUAAAUGGCUAUUUACUACAAAAUCUUGUAAACACUCUAGAAGUCACAUUUAUUAUCCAAUCUUCAUGAAACUUGAUCAGAACAUUUGUUCUAACAAUAGCUUGAGUGAGUUUGAAAAUGGUUAUGGUUUGUUGAAAAACAUGGCCGCCAGGCGGGGGGCAGUUGUCUUUAUAUGGCUUUAGUGAAAACUUGUUGACACUAUAUUAGCCACAUUUAUUGGCCAAUCUUCAUGAAACUUGGUCAGAACAUUUGUUCCAAUGAAAUUUUGCCAGAGAUAGAAGCUGGGUCAUAUGAGCUCAAAAACUAGGUCACAAGGUCAAAUAUAAAAAAAACAUGUUAAAAGUCACUUUUUUGGUCCAAAAUAAUCUUCAUGAAUCAGCUUGCAUUUUUUUCAGAAUAGUCUAGUUCCUUUUGCUUUUAGGUGAGCGCCUUAGGGCCUGAUGGCCCUCUUGUUUUCAUUUGCACAAUUUAUAAUUUAUUAAAUAUAAAGAAGAAUAAUUGAUGUGUUUAUAUGUUAUGGAUAUGGUUAGUUUAAACCUAUUUAUUAUGCCCCCCCUCGAAGAAGAGGUUGUAUAUUGUUUUGCACAUGUCGGUCGGUCCGUCUGUCCACCAGGUGGUUUCCGGAUGAUAACUCAAGAAGGCUUAGGCCUAGGAUCAUAAAACUUCAUAGGUACAUUGAUCAUGACUGGCAGAUGACCCCUAUUGAUUUUCAGGUCACUAGGUCAAAGGUCAAGGUCACAGCGACUCGAAACAGUAAAAUGGUUUCCGGAUGAUAACUCAAGAAUGCUUACGCCUAGGAUCAUGAAACUUCAUAGGAACAUUGAUCAUGACUGGCAGAUGACCACUAUUUCUUUUCAGGUCACUAGAUCAAAGGUCAAGGUAACAGUGACUCAAAACAGUAAAAUGGUUUCCGGAUGAUUACUCAAGAAUGCUUACGCCUAGGAUCAUGAAACGUCAUAGGUACAUUGAUCAUGACUGGCAGAUGACCCCUAUUAAUGUUCAGGUCACUAGGUCAAAGGUCAAGGUCACAGUGACUCAAAACAGUAAAAUGUUUUCCAGAUGAUAACUCAAGAAUAAUUAGGCCUAGGAUCAUGACACUUCUUAGGUUCAUUGAUCAUGACUGGCAGAUGACCCCUAUUGAUUUUCAGGUCACUAGGUCAAAGGUCAAGGUCACAGUGACUAAAAACGUAUUCACACAAUGGCUGCCACUACAACUGAGAGCCCAUAUGGGGGGGCAUGCAUGUUUUACAAACAGCCCUUGUUUGAGUUUGAUUGCAUUGAAAGCCAAAGGCCAAACACUCUCCUUUCUAGUCCAUUUACAGGGUAGAACCAGUACUUUAUGUCUGUGGGGUAGAGACCUAAUGAACGCAUGGGGAUCAAACACGCGACCUCCCCAGAAUAGAAUAUAUAUAUGUAUUGUUUAAAUUUUGUGGAAACAUCUCUUCUUCAUCUUCUUUAAGCAUUUGAUUUGUUUAUUCCAUUUUGCAAUAAUUCUUUUUUGUGUUGCUUGACAGAGAUGUAAGCCACCAAUUGUAUUGUUCUAUCAUGUGUAAAACUUCUAUUUGCUUAUGUAUAAGUUAGUGACUUAUUGAAACAAUCUAUUACUGUAUUUUCUUUGCAUAUUGAUUUCUACUAAUUUUUAUGUAUUUUAAAAUAUAAAGAAUAUGUUU
Molecule: long non-coding RNA, 2822 nt
Organism: Dreissena polymorpha
Lineage: Eukaryota; Metazoa; Mollusca; Bivalvia; Myida; Dreissenidae
Exons: 2
Source: RefSeq, a predicted model, not a curated record